RNAcentral lists this RNase P RNA (350 nucleotides) under Eubacteriales bacterium. RNAcentral's name for it is "RNase P RNA component class A". It matches the Rfam family "Bacterial RNase P class A". Rfam says of the family: Ribonuclease P (RNase P) is a ubiquitous endoribonuclease, found in archaea, bacteria and eukarya as well as chloroplasts and mitochondria. Its best characterised activity is the generation of mature 5'-ends of tRNAs by cleaving the 5'-leader elements of precursor-tRNAs. The record is from RNAcentral. Lineage: Bacteria; Bacillati; Bacillota; Clostridia; Eubacteriales.
CAAGUAAGACAGAUGAUUGCAGUCAACGGACCGAAAGGUGUUGAUUGAGGAAAGUCCGGGCUUCACAGGGCAGGGUGCCAGAUAACGUCUGGUGGAGGCGACUCUAAGGCCAGUGCAACAGAAAUAUACCGCCCUCCCGUCAGGGAGAGUAAGGUUGGAAGGGCAGUGUAAGAGACUACCGCCCGGAUGGUAACAUCCGGGGCAUAUGUAAACCCCACUCGAAGCAAGACCGUAGAGGAACAAAAGGGUGGCCCGCCCGUUCCGAGUAGGUCGCUAAAGUCUGCCGGCGACGGCAGAUGUAGAUAGAUAAUCAUCCGAUACAUGACCCGGCUUACAGUCUUGCUUGCUUG